GCGCCCAUAGCUCAGUGGAUAGAGCAUUGGUCUUCGGAACCAACGGUCGGGGGUUCGAAUCCCUCUGGGCGCA
Molecule: non-coding RNA, 73 nt
Organism: Chloroflexi bacterium OLB15
Lineage: Bacteria; Bacillati; Chloroflexota
Source: Rfam